RNAcentral lists this transfer RNA (73 nucleotides) under Paramuricea clavata. It matches the Rfam family "tRNA". Rfam says of the family: Transfer RNA (tRNA) molecules are approximately 80 nucleotides in length. Their secondary structure includes four short double-helical elements and three loops (D, anti-codon, and T loops). Lineage: Eukaryota; Metazoa; Cnidaria; Anthozoa; Malacalcyonacea; Plexauridae. The record is from Rfam by way of RNAcentral.
GCCUCUGAAGCUCAGUUGGUUAGAGCGCUGCACCGGAAUCGCAGGGCCGUAGGUUCAAUUCCUACUGGAGGAC